GGAUGCGUCUUUGCCCGGAUAACCUGGCACGAGAUCCUGGCUUGGUGCCGGCUCACCACUCCUCCAAUGGACGGCGCGACGACCUUCUUCGCUUGGUGGGCGCUUGCGUCCGCCACCUCGCCGAGCAGACUCCGUAAAGGGCUCAACUCCAUCGUCGCUCUAACCGCUUGGGCCAUCUGGAAGCAUCGCAACGCCGCCAUCUUCGACGGCUUACAACCCUCCACUGAUGGUCUGGUGGUCUCCAUCCAGGAUGACGCUCGCCUAUGGGCUAAGGCCGGCGCCAAGGGACUAGCCUCUAUUAUUCCUGUAACCUGA
RNAcentral lists this ribosomal RNA (315 nucleotides) under Triticum aestivum (bread wheat). Its description in RNAcentral is "partial small subunit ribosomal RNA". Lineage: Eukaryota; Viridiplantae; Streptophyta; Magnoliopsida; Poales; Poaceae. The record is from RNAcentral.